Molecule: long non-coding RNA, 171 nt
Organism: Juglans microcarpa x Juglans regia
Lineage: Eukaryota; Viridiplantae; Streptophyta; Magnoliopsida; Fagales; Juglandaceae
Exons: 3
Source: RefSeq, a predicted model, not a curated record
AUCGAAUUAUGUAAAACAACUCAAACAGUGUGUCUUGAGGAAACUGGUGGCAAGGUUCACUUUACUAUUAGGGCCUUGUCUUCCUUGGCAAAAGAGUUCCCCAUCCGUUCUCAAGGAAUUCAUGGAGACUUGGUCCCCAAGUAUGGCAGAUAAUCUGCAAUAUAAAGAAGA